GAAGCGUGGGGCCAUGCCUCAGUUAUAUGCCAAAGGGGCGCACAUGAGUUCGGAUUGUAGGCCACAUAUGUGGAUCUCCAGAGGGAAUCUACUUGCAGAUUAUGGUGCAUUUGCAUAGAAGGACAAAUUCUAUAUGCCCUUUACGCCCUGCAAAUAAGAUGAAAAGUAUGCGAAGAAAAGGUUUCAGUGGUGAAAUAUUAAUUUUUGACGAUUUUUCGAUGUGGAUUUCGGAUGAUUAAAAUAGUUAGAAAAACACGUUUUUGUCGGUGAAUACCAGCUACUCGUUUAGAUGAACAUCCUUGCGCACAGCAUUGUUGAAGCCCUCCUUAUAGCGAUACCAUAUUGGGCUCUUAA
Molecule: long non-coding RNA, 354 nt
Organism: Drosophila novamexicana
Lineage: Eukaryota; Metazoa; Arthropoda; Insecta; Diptera; Drosophilidae
Exons: 3
Source: RefSeq, a predicted model, not a curated record